This 351-nucleotide ribosomal RNA is filed under the name uncultured bacterium. RNAcentral's name for it is "bacterial SSU rRNA". It matches the Rfam family "Bacterial small subunit ribosomal RNA", at positions 335 to 678 of the family's 1533-position model. The record is from RNAcentral.
ACUCCUACGGGAGGCAGCAGUGGGGAAUAUUGCACAAUGGGCGCAAGCCUGAUGCAGCCAUGCCGCGUGUGUGAAGAAGGCCUUCGGUUGUAAGCACUUUCAGUUGUGAGGAAGGUGGUGUCGUUAAUAGCGGCAUCAUUUUGACGUUUUAGCAACAGAAGAAGCACCGGCUAACUCCGUGCCAGCAGCCGCGGUAAUACGGAGGGUGCGAGCGUUAAUCGGAAUUACUGGGCGUAAAGCGCAUGCAGGUGGUUUGUUAAGUCAGAUGUGAAAGCCCGGGGCUCAACCUCGGAACUGCAUUUGAAACUGGCAGACUAGAGUACUGUAGAGGGGGUAGAAUUUCAGGUGUAG